UUCGUCACUGUUUAGGAGAAGUCAUUGUCAAGUGCCCAUACUAAUAAUUUCCUCCGGUUUGACUACUUUUCAGCCAGCCAGUUCACAUUGAAAACCUCGAGAAGGGUCGAUUUUUUUCCUGCUGAUUUUUGAAAGACAGUCAAGAAACUCAAAUAGUCUGGUGGCUCUCUCACUCUCCGAUAGUUUUGAUCCAUCAACGGUAAAGUCAUUGUAGAUCGAUGCAAUAGUUGAUUGUGGUGGGUUCAGAACAAUGCACGGGCCACAGUCUUGAAGAUGAAGAGGAAAGCCCCAUCAACAUCUGGGAUCUCUCCUUUCCAACUGUCACUUCUCCGGAUCCAAGCCCUGCCACUCCUUCAACAUCUAUUCAGCCUCGCCCUACAUUCUUCCUUCUUCCCAGCAGAGUGGAUGGAGUCAGCUAUCAUCUUCAUCCAUAAGAAAAGGCCAAGUGACAUUUCAGACAAUCAUCGGACCAACGAUCUGGAAAACCCCUUCUUGAAGAUGAUGUCCACCCUACUAGCUGCUCGCUUCUCCGGAUUGACCGAGGAUAGGGAUCUCCUUCCCCAGUUCCAAUUCGGUUUCCGGAGAAGCCGCUCUACCACCUCUGCAGCUACUCUCCUCAAUGAAAUUAGGCAUUCUAUCAUCAGCAACAUAAAGGAGACUGUACGGAUGCUACGUGGAUUUCUCCAAAGCAUUUGAUAGGGUAGACCGAACGCAUUAUUCUUCACACGUUAACUAUGUGGAGUUCCGCGUUCAAUCUGUGUCCUGCUGUCCAACAUUUUCGCGGGACUCAGAUGCUCCAUUCGAUCUGGUGAGGACCUAUCCCCCCUGUUAUUUCACUUCCGUUUGCCUUCCACAGGGGGAUCCACUAUCGCCAAUUCUUUUUAAUCUUCAUGUAUCCGACCGGCCGAAGCUCUUACACACCAAGGCCCCUACAUCAACCGUUUUCCAGUUCAAUAUCUACAAUAUGCAGACGGCCUGGUUCUCUUGGCUGAUUCAGCCAUGGAAUAGCGAAAUGCCAUCAAUGCACUCCAUGGUUAUUGGCAAGAGAACGGCCUUCAAGUCAAUAAGAUCAAGACGAAGGCCAUGGUCUUCCAUAAAGGUCGUCUGCCUCCCACCUCCUUCCAUAUUAACAAAAGUCCGAUUGAAAUCGUCAAUAGUUUUAACUGUGUCAGUUUCACCUUCUCCACCCAACUCUCAUUCACCAAUCACCUCAAAUCCACAAUAACUAUGGCCAGGACCAGGAUCGGAUACAUAUGCAAUAGACUUCCCAUGAAGAAUCUUCCCCUCCCAAUAGUCCUUCAACUCUUCCGGAUCUACGUCACCCCAAUUUUUGUCUACGGCCUACAUCUUUGGCUUCCCAACUCCACCCAAUCCGCCCUCAAAUCCGCCGAUGCCAACUACUCCAAGUUCCUCUGCGUGCCCCAAUAUGCCAAUAAUGCAUGGACGCAUUUUCUAUGCAAAACCGAGCCCCUCACCAUCGGGCUGGCAAGGCUAGUGUCCAACAGUGUUGGGAACCUGACCUUUCCGGAGGUGAUGUCUGGACACAAGUUGUCCUUCCCGGUCCCUUGACCGGGACUUGCUAACAACCUAUUGUCCUUGGCCCGACAUCCCUUCGGAGUAUUGGCGGUCACGUACCUUUGUCCGUCUCCCAGCCAGAUGACAUCAGCGACGGGAGUUGACAAAGGAUGUGUUCAAUCUGGCCCAUCCACUCGGCUAUAAUAACCAAGAUUUUCAUUAUUUACCUCUACCUACUUGUCUUUGUACUAUCUGUUACUCACCUCUUCCCUUUUUCCAAGUGCACUGAACCAAUUCUAGUCAUCUCUGUUGUGAUAUCAUUAGCCGAAUGUUUUAUCGUUUUAACCAUUUUAGUUUCUUCUUUUAUGUCGUUAUCCAUAUUUGUGUAAGUUGUUUACAUACACAAUUCUAUUAUUUUACAAUUUGACAUGACCGAGAGUCGCAAUAAAAAAUAAAAGACAAAUGUUACGCUUUAGGA
Tigriopus californicus is the source of this 1993-nucleotide long non-coding RNA. RefSeq lists it as uncharacterized. The transcript is spliced from 2 exons. Lineage: Eukaryota; Metazoa; Arthropoda; Copepoda; Harpacticoida; Harpacticidae. The record is from RefSeq and is a predicted model, not a curated record.